This 253-nucleotide ribosomal RNA is filed under the name uncultured bacterium. RNAcentral's name for it is "partial 16S ribosomal RNA". It matches the Rfam family "Bacterial small subunit ribosomal RNA", at positions 524 to 776 of the family's 1533-position model. The record is from RNAcentral.
GACGAACCGUCCAAACGUUAUUCGGAAUCACUGGGCUUACAGAGUUCGUAGGCGGUCUGGAAAGUUGGGUGUGAAAUCCCUCGGCUCAACCGGGGAACUGCGUCUGAUACUGGAUGGCUUGAAUUCGGGAGAGGGAUGCGGAAUUCCAGGUGUAGCGGUGAAAUGCGUAGAUAUCUGGAGGAACACCGGUGGCGAAGGCGGCAUCCUGGACCGAGAUUGACGCUGAUGCGCGAAAGCCAGGGGAGCAAACGGG